Molecule: transfer RNA, 87 nt
Filed under: Bacillus amyloliquefaciens
Lineage: Bacteria; Bacillati; Bacillota; Bacilli; Caryophanales; Bacillaceae
Description: tRNA-Ser
Rfam family: tRNA (bases 16-84)
About the family: Transfer RNA (tRNA) molecules are approximately 80 nucleotides in length. Their secondary structure includes four short double-helical elements and three loops (D, anti-codon, and T loops).
Source: RNAcentral
GAGGCGUAGAUGAUUGACGUUCAGCAAGCUGAGGUGAUCUGACUUUUAAUCAGAGGGUCGAAGGUUCGAGUCCUUCAUGGCUCACCA